RNAcentral lists this ribosomal RNA (395 nucleotides) under uncultured bacterium. RNAcentral's name for it is "bacterial SSU rRNA". It matches the Rfam family "Bacterial small subunit ribosomal RNA", at positions 28 to 405 of the family's 1533-position model. The record is from RNAcentral.
AACGAACGCUGGCGGCGUGCCUAACACAUGCAAGUCGAACGGGAGGGCGGGCUUCGGCCCGCUAGUACAGUGGCAGACGGGUGAGUAACACGUGGGUAACCUGCCCGGAGGUGUGGAACAACCAUCCGAAAGGAUGGCUAAUACCGCAUAAUGCCCCAGGAUCUUCGGGUCUUGGGGCCAAAGCUAGCCUCUACAUGUAAGCUGGCGCCACCGGAGGGGCCCGCGGCCCAUUAGCUAGUUGGGAGGUAACGGCUCACCAAGGCUACGAUGGGUAGCCGGCCUGAGAGGGUGAUCGGCCACACUGGAACUGAGACACGGGUCCAGACUCCUACGGGAGGCAGCAGUGAGGAAUCUUGCGCAAUGGGGGAAACCCUGACGCAGCGACGCCGCGUGGA